This 28-nucleotide non-coding RNA is filed under the name Cricetulus griseus (Chinese hamster). The record is from RNAcentral. Lineage: Eukaryota; Metazoa; Chordata; Mammalia; Rodentia; Cricetidae.
ACAAAAGGGAUUGUGGGAGAAAGGCUUC